CAAAAUGAAUUCUUCUAGAUAUCGAGUCCUUUCCCAAAUUGCCCGUGAUGUGUUGGCUAUUCCUGUCUCUACAGUUGCAUCCGAGUCUGCUUUUAGUACGGGGGGGCGUGUUUUGGAUUCGUUCCGUAGUUCACUAUCUUCUAAUACAGUUGAAGCCCUUAUUUGUACCCAAAAUUGGUUGAAAGAUGCAAAGGAAAAAAGACCAAUAAAGCUUCGGGAGUGCAUGGAUAAUGUGGAGGAUAUUGAUGGUUUUGAGAUUGACACUGAAAUUGCAUUGGUUUGCUCAAUGCCUAUGGAGGAGGAUCCAAGCACCGUUGUGUUGGAUGAUGAUGAGUGAUGUGUUACUCUUUACUUGGAGUUAGUUAGUAGUUAGUAUUAUUAUUUUGUAGGAGUUCUAAAAUGAUGCAUAGUGCACAGACUUACUGGAUAAUGGACUUACAAGAAUUAGCAUUCUUUUGCCAAUAUGCUAAUUAUAUUUGUACAUGUUAUUAGUAGUAGACUUUUCACUAAUGGUAGUUAUUUAGGUAUUCAUUGGUGGGAUUAUUUGUGGGGAUACAAGCAAUUAGCAUUCUUUUGCCUAAAUGCUAAUUUAAUUUGUAUUUAUUUCUUUUGGCAUUUGUGGACAGUGACAAAUGGUUCUGUAAUACGUUAUUAAGUAAAUACAUUAACACUUAUUGUUAUUGACACUGACACACAUAGUGACACUAAUGAUAUUAUAUGCUACAUGAUAGUAUUUUGGGAGUUGAACUCUUAUUUAGACAAUUUCAAAUAUGUUUGCAUGGUGAAUGAAAU
Molecule: long non-coding RNA, 792 nt
Organism: Quercus robur (English oak)
Lineage: Eukaryota; Viridiplantae; Streptophyta; Magnoliopsida; Fagales; Fagaceae
Exons: 3
Source: RefSeq, a predicted model, not a curated record